Molecule: ribosomal RNA, 252 nt
Filed under: uncultured bacterium
Lineage: Bacteria
Description: partial 16S ribosomal RNA
Rfam family: Bacterial small subunit ribosomal RNA
Source: RNAcentral
UACGUAGGGGCCGAGCGUUGUCCGGAGUUACUGGGCGUAAAGCGCGCGCAGGCGGCUCGUCAAGCCUGACGUGAAAGCCCCCGGCUCAACCGGGGAGGGUCGUCGGGGACUGGCGGGCUUGAGGUCGGCAGGGGUUGGUGGAAUUCCCGGUGUAGUGGUGAAAUGCGUAGAGAUGGGAGGAACACCCGUGGCGAAGGCGGCCAACUGGGCCGGACCUGACGCUGAGGCGCGAAGGCGUGGGGAGCGAACGGG